This 68-nucleotide transfer RNA is filed under the name Saturnia haraldi. Its description in RNAcentral is "Neoris haraldi tRNA-Asp". The record is from RNAcentral. Lineage: Eukaryota; Metazoa; Arthropoda; Insecta; Lepidoptera; Saturniidae.
AAAGAAUUAGUUAAGAAAUAACAUAAAUAUGUCNAAUUUAAAUUAUUAUAAUUAUAUAAUAUUCUUUU